Molecule: ribosomal RNA, 433 nt
Filed under: uncultured bacterium
Lineage: Bacteria
Description: partial 16S ribosomal RNA
Rfam family: Bacterial small subunit ribosomal RNA
Source: RNAcentral
AACGAACGCUGGCGGCAUGCCUAACACAUGCCGGUCGAACGAAGGCUUCGGCCUUAGUGGCGCACGGGUGCGUAACGCGUGGGAAUCUGCCCUUUGCUUCGGAAUAACAGUUAGAAAUGACUGCUAAUACCGGAUGAUGUCGCAAGACCAAAGAUUUAUCGGCAAAGGAUGAGCCCGCGUAGGAUUAGCUAGUUGGUGGGGUAAAGGCCUACCAAGGCGACGAUCCUUAGCUGGUCUGAGAGGAUGAUCAGCCACACUGGGACUGAGACACGGCCCAGACUCCUACGGGAGGCAGCAGUGGGGAAUAUUGGACAAUGGGCGAAAGCCUGAUCCAGCAAUGCCGCGUGAGUGAUGAAGGCCUUAGGGUUGUAAAGCUCUUUUACCCGGGAUGAUAAUGACAGUACCGGGAGAAUAAGCGCCGGCUAACUCCGUG